Molecule: ribosomal RNA, 786 nt
Filed under: Triticum aestivum (bread wheat)
Lineage: Eukaryota; Viridiplantae; Streptophyta; Magnoliopsida; Poales; Poaceae
Description: partial small subunit ribosomal RNA
Source: RNAcentral
AUGAACUACAUCAGUACCGGUAGAGAAUAUCCGGAGACCUGCUUUAUCAUGCCUAGCCAUUUCCAUGCAGCAUCACUUGUUCGUGGACCAAAGAAUAUGAAAUCAGUCGGUGAGCAUGCUGAGAGGAGGGUGAUAACUUACUGGGACGUGGGAGUCACGGGCGCUGCGCUUGGGGUCGGUGGCGGAGAAGACGGUAUAGACAAGCACGAAGGUGCCGAUGAUCUCGGCGGCGAGGCCGGUGCCCGUGGAGUAGCCGGAGCUGAGCUCGUUGGCCCCGCCGCCGUAGCGCACGUAGAAGGCGCUCUGGAACCCCUUGACGAGCCCCACGCCGCAGAUGGCGCCCAGGCACUGCGCGAUGAUGUAGAGCAGCGCGCGCACCAGGGACACCUUGCGCGCCAGGAACAGCCCGAAGGUCACCGCCGGGUUGAUGUGUCCCCCGGACACACCGGCGGUGCAGUAGACGAGCACGAAGAUCAUGCCGCCGAACGCCCAGGCGAUGCCGAGGAUUCCCACGCCGCUGCAGGCCGCGUCGGCGGCGUUGGGGCCGGCGGGGUCUGCCUGGUGCUUGUACCCGAUGACGGUGGCCACGGUGAUGUAGAGGAAGAGCAGCGUGGCCACGAACUCGGCGAUGACCGCGCGGUACAGGGACCACUUGGUCAGCUCCUCGGCGUCGAAGAGCGGCGCCGGCGGCGGGUCGGAGUAGUCCUUGGCCGCGUACCCCCCGCCGGGUGGCGCCGCCUCGAUGUCCUUGGCCAUCGUCGCCUCCUCAGCCGAUCGACAAGCUAG